AGUAAGGUAAGCUAAUUAAGCCUCUGGGCUCAUACCCCAAAAAUGUUGGUUAAAAUCCUCCUUUUACUA
This 69-nucleotide transfer RNA is filed under the name Renova oscari. RNAcentral describes it as "tRNA-Met". It matches the Rfam family "tRNA". From Rfam's summary of the family: Transfer RNA (tRNA) molecules are approximately 80 nucleotides in length. Lineage: Eukaryota; Metazoa; Chordata; Actinopteri; Cyprinodontiformes; Rivulidae. The record is from RNAcentral.